GGGAGCUAACGCGUUAAAGUAGACCGCCUGGGGGAAGUACGGUCGCAAGAUUAAAAACUCAAAAUGAAUUGACGGGGGCCCGCACAAGCGGUGGAGCAUGUGGUUUAAUUCGAUGCAACGCGAAGAACCUUACCUACUCUUGACAUCUACAGAAGCCAGCGGAGACGCAGGUGUGCCUUCGGGAACUGUAAGACAGGUGCUGCAUGGCUGUCGUCAGCUCGUGUUGUGAAAUGUUGGGUUAAGUCCCGCAACGAGCGCAACCCUUAUCCUUGUUUGCCAGCACUUCGGGUGGGAACUCCAGGGAGACUGCCGGUGAUAAACCGGAGGAAGGUGGGGACGACGUCAAGUCAUCAUGGCCCUUACGAGUAGGGCUACACACGUGCUACAAUGGCGCAUACAGAGGGCGGCCAACUUGCGAAAGUGAGCGAAUCCCAAAAAGUGCGUCGUAGUCCGGAUUGGAGUCUGCAACUCGACUCCAUGAAGUCGGAAUCGCUAGUAAUCGUGGAUCAGAAUGCCACGGUGAAUACGUUCCCGGGCCUUGUACACACCGCCCGUCACACCAUGGGAGUGGGCUGCAAAAGAAGUGGGUAGUUUAACCUUCGGGAGGACGCUCACCACUUUGUGGUUCAUGACUGGGGUGAAGUCGUAACAAGGUAACCG
RNAcentral lists this ribosomal RNA (660 nucleotides) under uncultured bacterium. RNAcentral describes it as "bacterial SSU rRNA". It matches the Rfam family "Bacterial small subunit ribosomal RNA", at positions 847 to 1502 of the family's 1533-position model. The record is from RNAcentral.